RNAcentral lists this ribosomal RNA (440 nucleotides) under uncultured bacterium. Its description in RNAcentral is "partial 16S ribosomal RNA". It matches the Rfam family "Bacterial small subunit ribosomal RNA", at positions 338 to 795 of the family's 1533-position model. The record is from RNAcentral.
CCUACGGGUGGCUGCAGUGGGGAAUAUUGCUCAAUGGGGGAAACCCUGAUGCAGCGACGCCGCGUGGGGGAUGAAGGUUUUCGGUUUGUAAAGUCCUUUUAUUAGGGAAGAAAAUGACGGUAUCUGACGAAUAAGCACCGGCUAACUACGUGCCAGCAGCCGCGGUAAUACGGAGGGGGCAAGCGUUACCCGGAUUCACUGGGCGUAAAGGGCGCGUAGGCGGGAGAGCAAGUCAGAUGUGAAAUGCUGGGGCUUAACCAUAGAACUGCAUUGGAAACUGUGAUGCUAGAGUAUGGGAGAGGUAGGUGGAAUUCCUGGUGUAGGGGUAAAAUCCGUAGAGAUCAAGAGGAACACUCAUGGCGAAGGCGACUUGCUAGACUAUAACUGACGCUGAUGCGCGAAAGCGUGGGGAGCAAACAGGAUUAGAUACCCCGGUAGUC